Molecule: ribosomal RNA, 497 nt
Filed under: uncultured bacterium
Lineage: Bacteria
Description: partial 16S ribosomal RNA
Rfam family: Bacterial small subunit ribosomal RNA
Source: RNAcentral
GAUGAAUGCUGGCGGCGUGCCUAAUACAUGCAAGUCGAGCGAACAGACGAGGAGCUUGCUCCUUUGACGUUAGCGGCGGACGGGUGAGUAACACGUGGGUAACCUACCUAUAAGACUGGGAUAACUUCGGGAAACCGGAGCUAAUACCGGAUAAUAUUUCGAACCGCAUGGUUCGAUAGUGAAAGAUGGCUUUGCUAUCACUUAUAGAUGGACCUGCGCCGUAUUAGCUAGUUGGUAAGGUAACGGCUUACCAAGGCAACGAUACGUAGCCGACCUGAGAGGGUGAUCGGCCACACUGGAACUGAGACACGGUCCAGACUCCUACGGGAGGCAGCAGUAGGGAAUCUUCCGCAAUGGGCGAAAGCCUGACGGAGCAACGCCGCGUGAGUGAUGAAGGUCUUCGGAUCGUAAAACUCUGUUAUUAGGGAAGAACAAACGUGUAAGUAACUGUGCACGUCUUGACGGUACCUAAUCAGAAAGCCACGGCUAACUACGUG